UCUUGUGUUUUCUCUGUAGAUGGAAAAAGCUUUCUUGCUUUCAUAUAAUGGCAGGACAGUGAGGGAGGGAGCUGCCCUGUCUGAGGAGAUGUUGGGACAAUUGCGCUCCCUUGCACUAGAGUCAAACACUCCCUAAUCUCCAUGUGAGAGUGGUCUUGCCCUCCAUCACAGAGAUUAGAUCCAGAACGAUGGAUGUGGCUGUGGGGGGAUUCAAAGGAGGCUGGACAUUUUAUUUUUUGUGUGAUUCCCUCCACUGACAUGCAAGAUCAUCGAGGACUCAAGAGUUUGAUUUUAUCACCACUGCAUCCCCAGGAAUUAGAACAGUGCCACUAGGCACAGCCAGGGUGCUCAAUACUUGGUUUAGGGAUGAAUGAGGCCCCUGUUUUGGCUCUAGGAAUUCAUUCUAACCCUUCUAGAAUUCAACAUCAGGGCCCAGUUUCAACUGAUAGAGACACUGUCCAGCUGCAGGGGUCUGCAAAGUCCUGGCCAGAAGGAAAUUACUCCUCAUCUGAGGCCACGAGAGGACACAAAUCAGAGGCAGAACAGUGCAGAAGACUAACGAAAGAAACCUGCAAGGGGAAUGCAAUGAGUUGCCAAACCAGAGAGAGCAGAAGCAAAUAUCAAAGCCAGGGACCACAGCCAGGAAUCCAAGAUCCAGUGAGAUGAAGAGAAAGAGCAAGUGGGCCGAGGUCUCCUGUACCCGCACCUCCACAUCAGAAAUAGAAGCAUUUUCCCGAUAUGAUGAGAAAACUUUGUCGCACCAAAAAACACUUUCUCCUUCAUGCCAGUACUCUGGGAACUUUGUGGGCCGGCCUCCAACCAUUCUGCGGGCACCUCCUGCACAUUCAUGACCUACUCUCCACUGGGGGAGGAGCCAGAAGAUCCAGAUUGAUAAGUCACCUCACAGUCCAAAAUGGCUGCAGGAAAUCCAACCAUCACGCCACAUUCAAAUCAUUGAAAUGAAGGGGAGAAGAAGAGCAAGUCCUUCUCUUUUGGGACACUUCCAGAAAUUACAUUUCUGCUGACCUCCACUGGCCAUACUUAGUCACAUGGCUACAUCCAGCUGCAAGGGAGAUGAGGAAAUAGGCUUUUUAUUCUCAGAGACCACAUGCCCAGUUACAAAUGAAGGGUCUGUAACUCAGGAGGAAGGGAAACCAGGAGUCGCUACCACAAACGACCAUUUCUCCGCCCUCUUCUUCAUCUCCCUGCCAGUAGCAUCUCACCACAACCCCCACAGACACUUCUUGUCUUUACUGCCAAGAAGGAAACCACACUCUCCUGAUUUUCCUCCUCUCUUCCCUUGAAUGCUGGAAUGAUUUAGGGCUGUCCAGGGGACACCCUCACCUUAUUCUCUGUCCAUAUUUUUCUCCUAUGUAAUCUUAUCUAGUCCCAAGGAUUUAAAUUCAGUGCCAGUGAAUCUUAAAUCUUCUCCCCUUAAUCUCAGAGUCAUAUAUGCAGCUGCUACUUAGCUGUCUAACGAGUAUCCCAACCUUACCUCUUCAUGUCCACCCCAAGUCCUGCCUAUCAUAGUAAAUAGCAACAGUAACUUAAGCCAGGAAUUGU
This is a long non-coding RNA of Talpa occidentalis (Iberian mole), 1563 nucleotides long. RefSeq lists it as uncharacterized. The record is from RefSeq and is a predicted model, not a curated record. Lineage: Eukaryota; Metazoa; Chordata; Mammalia; Eulipotyphla; Talpidae. The transcript has 4 exons.